GUUAAAUCAUUUUAAUGCUUUAGAAAUAAUUAUUUCUUCAUGUUUCUUGUACUUGCAGAAUGCUUCCUCAGCUUCCACUGGGGGGCGCUCUGGCCACAUAUGCCUCAUUAAAUUCAAAAUCCCUGUUCCGGCACACUCAGUUCUCAUGGCUGGUUUGGGAUCUAAUGGAUGACGUAAUUGCUUGGCGGUGGGGGCCAGUUACUGCCCUGCUUUCCCUUACAUCACUAACACUCUAUAUAAAUGGCCUUCUGUGCUGACUAGGAUGCUGGCUACCUGCAUGGAAAGACUUUGUUUGAUGUGUGCUACCACAAUGGUGUGUAAAACCAACAUCAUGAUGAUGUUUAAGUAACUCGUCCUUGUGAACUGUUCAUGGAAUGAAGUGACUCAUAAGUGUGAUUUGUUUCAGGAAUAGGCCUAUGUUUUUCAUUCAUUAAAAAGAACUGGCUUAUCCACCUUAUUUUGCAAUGUGGACAUAAGCUAUUUCCUGCCAAUGUGCAAGACUUCUGAUUCAUUUGCUGCUCUAUAGAUAAAUAACUAAGAAUAACAAAGUGUAGUAAAUGGUAAAACUAUUUGCGCUACAAACCAGUGUGUUUACAUAUAUAUAAAAGUAUUGGUAUAAAAAGUAUUAUACAUCCAAACUGUCAAAUGUUUCUCUUUGGAGAAUGUGAAACACUGUUGGUAAUAUAAUCCUGUAUUGACAGUAUUGUACUUAUACUGGCACACUAACUUUGAACACACCAUGAAAUUGCAAUUAAACAGCAAUGAACAGUUUGAGAAGUGUAAUUUUACAUGAUAUUUAGAUUAUGAAGCCCCACACAGUGUCAAUUAUGUGUCUCUAUAUUGCUGUUCAGCAUAUAUGCUACUAA
Molecule: long non-coding RNA, 866 nt
Organism: Cyprinus carpio (common carp)
Lineage: Eukaryota; Metazoa; Chordata; Actinopteri; Cypriniformes; Cyprinidae
Source: Ensembl